ACAAUUAAUGCCCUUCUUGAAA
This 22-nucleotide unclassified non-coding RNA is filed under the name Mus musculus (house mouse). Its description in RNAcentral is "oocyte_clustered_small_RNA7755". The record is from RNAcentral. Lineage: Eukaryota; Metazoa; Chordata; Mammalia; Rodentia; Muridae.